Molecule: long non-coding RNA, 209 nt
Filed under: Physcomitrium patens
Lineage: Eukaryota; Viridiplantae; Streptophyta; Bryopsida; Funariales; Funariaceae
Description: long non-coding RNA (PPAT_LNC004144)
Source: RNAcentral
AGACCUCUAGCCACUAAAAUGACUAUCUAGGAUAAAAUAGGAUUUUAUUUGAAGAUCAAAGAUUAGGAUUUGAGAGCUAGGUUAGAGCUUAUUCCAAAGACAUAAGGUUGGUUUUAGUAAGAUUUAGAGAGACUUAGCAAUUGUUAUUAGAAGUCGAGGUAUGUAUUGGCAACUUGGGAUUUAUGCAAUAAAAUUAAGGCUAGCACUCU